RNAcentral lists this ribosomal RNA (465 nucleotides) under uncultured bacterium. RNAcentral describes it as "partial 16S ribosomal RNA". It matches the Rfam family "Bacterial small subunit ribosomal RNA", at positions 28 to 507 of the family's 1533-position model. The record is from RNAcentral.
GACGAACGAUGGCGGCGUGCUUAACACAUGCAAGUCGAACGGAAAGGCCCCUUUGGGGGUACUCGAGUGGCGAACGGGUGAGUAACACGUGAGUAACCUGCCCUUGACUUCGGGAUAACUUCAGGAAACUGGGGCUAAUACCGGAUAGGAAUCCUUGCUGCAUGGUGGGGGUUGGAAAGCUUCGGCGGUUUUGGAUGGACUCGCGGCUUAUCAGCUUGUUGGUGGGGUAGUGGCUUACCAAGGCUUUGACGGGUAGCCGGCCUGAGAGGGCGACCGGCCACAUUGGGACUGAGAUACGGCCCAGACGCCUACGGGAGGCAGCAGUGGGGAAUAUUGCACAAUGGGCGGAAGCCUGAUGCAGCAACGCCGCGUGCGGGAUGACGGCCUUCGGGUUGUAAACCGCUUUCAGCAGGGGCGAAGCUUGUGGUGACGGUACCUGCAGAAGAAGCACCGGCUAACUACGUG